RNAcentral lists this ribosomal RNA (253 nucleotides) under uncultured bacterium. Its description in RNAcentral is "partial 16S ribosomal RNA". It matches the Rfam family "Bacterial small subunit ribosomal RNA", at positions 524 to 776 of the family's 1533-position model. The record is from RNAcentral.
UACGUAGGUGGCAAGCGUUAUCCGGAUUUAUUGAGCGUAAAGGGAACGCAGGCGGUCUUUUAAGUCUGAUGUGAAAGCCUUCGGCUUAACCGGAGUAGUGCAUUGGAAACUGGGAGACUUGAGUGCAGAAGAGGAGAGUGGAACUCCAUGUGUAGCGGUGAAAUGCGUAGAUAUAUGGAAGAACACCAGUGGCGAAAGCGGCUCUCUGGUCUGUAACUGACGCUGAGGUUCGAAAGCGUGGGGAGCAAAUAGG